CCAUGGGCACUGUUUCUUAAGGAGCUCCUUGAACGGAGUCCUUUCUUGAUUUUUCCGCCACUUUUCUUGGAGGACUGGGACAUCGCCAUGAUAGUAUUGUCUGGCUUCCUCUUGCAGUUUUGACCACCCGAGUAGUUGCCUCAGUUGACAUUGGGGCGAUCGUUGCGAUUCUUAUUGUUGCGUUGGCUGUUGUUCUGGUUGUUAUUGUUCUCGCCUCUAUUACGACUAGACUUGAACCGCUCGAUCUCUUUGUCUUCUUCAUCUGCCCAGGCUUG
This 275-nucleotide long non-coding RNA is filed under the name Setaria viridis. RNAcentral's name for it is "long non-coding RNA (SVIR_LNC006727)". The record is from RNAcentral. Lineage: Eukaryota; Viridiplantae; Streptophyta; Magnoliopsida; Poales; Poaceae.